UUGACCUCGGAUCAGGUAGGAAUACCCGCUGAACUUAAGCAUAUCAAUAAGCCGGGAGGAAAAGGAUCAUUACCGAGUUUACAACUCCCAACCCCUGUGAACAUACCUUUAUGUUGCCU
Molecule: ribosomal RNA, 119 nt
Filed under: Fusarium sp. MUT 1755
Lineage: Eukaryota; Fungi; Ascomycota; Sordariomycetes; Hypocreales; Nectriaceae
Description: partial 28S ribosomal RNA
Source: RNAcentral